UUGAUCAAAUCUAUAAAUUUUUAAAAAAUGUAAAAAUUAUUUGAUACUUCGUUUCAUUAAUUCAAAUCAAUAGAUACAAUAAUUUUUGUGAUUAUCUGACAAUUUGAAUUAAUGAAAUGAAGUAUCAAAUGAUUUUUAAAUUUUUUAAAAAUUUGCAAACUUAAUCUA
Molecule: microRNA precursor, 168 nt
Filed under: Cajanus cajan (pigeon pea)
Lineage: Eukaryota; Viridiplantae; Streptophyta; Magnoliopsida; Fabales; Fabaceae
Description: miRNA gene-KK1_050587
Source: RNAcentral